GUUGAACGCUGGCGGCAGGCCUAACACAUGCAAGUCGAACGGUAACAGGAAACAGCUUGCUGUUUCGCUGACGAGUGGCGGACGGGUGAGUAAUGUCUGGGAAACUGCCUGAUGGAGGGGGGUAACUACUGGAAACGGUAGCUAAUACCGCAUAACGUCGCAAGACCAAAGAGGGGGACCUUCGGGCCUCUUGCCAUCGGAUGUGCCCAGAUGGGAUUAGCUAGUAGGUGGGGUAACGGCUCACCUAGGCGACGAUCCCUAGCUGGUCUGAGAGGAUGACCAGCCACACUGGAACUGAGACACGGUCCAGACUCCUACGGGAGGCAGCAGUGGGGAAUAUUGCACAAUGGGCGCAAGCCUGAUGCAGCCAUGCCGCGUGUAUGAAGAAGGCCUUCGGGUUGUAAAGUACUUUCAGCGGGGAUGAAGGGAGUAAAGUUAAUACCUUUGCUCAUUGACGUUACCCGCAGAAGAAGCACCGGCUAACUCCGUG
This 490-nucleotide ribosomal RNA is filed under the name uncultured bacterium. RNAcentral's name for it is "partial 16S ribosomal RNA". It matches the Rfam family "Bacterial small subunit ribosomal RNA", at positions 28 to 507 of the family's 1533-position model. The record is from RNAcentral.